AAUCCACGCUGAGCUUGGCAUC
Molecule: microRNA, 22 nt
Filed under: Homo sapiens (human)
Lineage: Eukaryota; Metazoa; Chordata; Mammalia; Primates; Hominidae
Description: hsa-miR-5092
Source: miRBase by way of RNAcentral